GAUGAACGCUGGCGGCGUGCUUAACACAUGCAAGUCGAACGGUGAAGGCGGAGCUUGCUCUGCUGGAUCAGUGGCGAACGGGUGAGUAACACGUGAGCAAUCUGCCCCUGACUCUGGGAUAAGCGCUGGAAACGGCGUCUAAUACUGGAUACGAGCUGCGAAGGCAUCUUCAGCAGCUGGAAAGAAUUUCGGUCAGGGAUGAGCUCGCGGCCUAUCAGCUUGUUGGUGAGGUAAUGGCUCACCAAGGCGUCGACGGGUAGCCGGCCUGAGAGGGUGACCGGCCACACUGGGACUGAGACACGGCCCAGACGCCUACGGGAGGCAGCAGUGGGGAAUAUUGCACAAUGGGCGAAAGCCUGAUGCAGCAACGCCGCGUGAGGGACGACGGCCUUCGGGUUGUAAACCUCUUUUAGCAGGGAAGAAGCGAAAGUGACGGUACCUGCAGAAAAAGCGCCGGCUAACUACGUGC
This 469-nucleotide ribosomal RNA is filed under the name uncultured bacterium. Its description in RNAcentral is "partial 16S ribosomal RNA". It matches the Rfam family "Bacterial small subunit ribosomal RNA", at positions 28 to 508 of the family's 1533-position model. The record is from RNAcentral.